GUUGGUGUGGUGGUGCAUGCCCAUAGUCCCAGCUACUCGGGAGGCUGAGACAGGAGGAUAUUUUGAGUCUAGGAGUUCUGGACUGUAGUGAGCUAUGCCAAUUGGGUAUCUGUUCUAAGUUUAGCAUCAAUGUGGUGACCUCCUGGGAAUGGGGGACCACCAGGUUUCCUAAGGAGGGGUGAACCGGCCCAGGUCGGAAAUGGAGCAGGUCAAAACUCUUGUGCUGAUCAGGUAUGGCUCCUGGCUUCUUAUUUUUUAUAUGUGUAUUUUCAU
Unclassified non-coding RNA from Cricetulus griseus (Chinese hamster), 273 nucleotides. It matches the Rfam family "Metazoan signal recognition particle RNA". Rfam says of the family: The signal recognition particle (SRP) is a universally conserved ribonucleoprotein. It is involved in the co-translational targeting of proteins to membranes. The record is from Ensembl. Lineage: Eukaryota; Metazoa; Chordata; Mammalia; Rodentia; Cricetidae.